GAAAAGACGAUUGAAAGGGACCGGCAUGACUCAAAACAGGCUAUAAAGCGACCCGGGGAAGGUGAAAGCCCGGGAUGGCCGGAAUCAUGCAGAUCAGCCCUUUAGUUUCCUUUCUGAACCGAGAGUAGGAAAGGACGUUCCAUCACGUUACGAUGUUCGAGAGGAAAAGACGGAUGAUCCGUUUUUUCUAAAAGGGUGGUACCGCGAGAUAAGCUUUCUCGUCCCUUAU
Bacillus amyloliquefaciens is the source of this 229-nucleotide non-coding RNA. The record is from Rfam. NCBI's taxonomy places the organism in Bacteria, Bacillati, Bacillota, Bacilli, Caryophanales, Bacillaceae.